UCUCGAUUGGUCUAGUGGUAAGGAUACCUGCUUGUCAUUAGAAAGCAAUUCGCAGGUGGCCGGGGUUCGAUUCCCCGAUCGAGAG
Hypoxylon argillaceum is the source of this 85-nucleotide non-coding RNA. NCBI's taxonomy places the organism in Eukaryota, Fungi, Ascomycota, Sordariomycetes, Xylariales, Hypoxylaceae. The record is from the annotation of a GenBank genome assembly.